RNAcentral lists this ribosomal RNA (271 nucleotides) under uncultured bacterium. RNAcentral describes it as "partial 16S ribosomal RNA". It matches the Rfam family "Bacterial small subunit ribosomal RNA", at positions 88 to 354 of the family's 1533-position model. The record is from RNAcentral.
CCGGCGACCGGCGCACGGGUGAGUAACACGUAUGCAACCUGCCCUCCGCAGGGGGAUAACCCGGAGAAAUCCGGACUAAUACCGCGUGGUACAUCUGUGGGGCAUCCCACGGGUGUUAAAAGGAAGCGAUUCCGGCGGAGGAUGGGCAUGCGGCGCAUUAGCUAGUUGGCGGGGCAACGGCCCACCAAGGCGACGAUGCGUAGGGGUUCUGAGAGGAAGGUCCCCCACACUGGUACUGAGACACGGACCAGACUCCUACGGGAGGCAGCAG